AUUGAACGCUGGCGGCAGGCCUAACACAUGCGAGUCGAGCGGAGGAAGGGAGCUUGCUCCUGGAUUCAGCGGCGGACGGGUGAGUAAUGCCUAGGAAUCUGCCUGGUAGUGGGGGAUAACGUCCGGAAACGGGCGCUAAUACCGCAUACGUCCUGAGGGAGAAAGUGGGGGAUCUUCGGACCUCACGCUAUCAGAUGAGCCUAGGUCGGAUUAGCUAGUUGGUGGGGUAAAGGCCUACCAAGGCGACGAUCCGUAACUGGUCUGAGAGGAUGAUCAGUCACACUGGAACUGAGACACGGUCCCGACUCCUACGGGAGGCAGCAGUGGGGAAUAUUGGACAAUGGGCGAAAGCCUGAUCCAGCCAUGCCGCGUGUGUGAAGAAGGUCUUCGGAUUGUAAAGCACUUUAAGUUGGGAGGAAGGGCAGUAAGUUAAUACCUUGCUGUUUUGACGUUACCAACAGAAUAAGCACCGGCUAACUUCGUG
Molecule: ribosomal RNA, 484 nt
Filed under: uncultured bacterium
Lineage: Bacteria
Description: partial 16S ribosomal RNA
Rfam family: Bacterial small subunit ribosomal RNA
Source: RNAcentral